AUGCACUUUCUUCCCCGUCUUCCACUCUUCUUCCUCCUCUCUUCUUCUUCCUCCUCUCUUCCCCAUCGUCGGCCGCACACCAUUUACCCCCGCUCACUGCUCACCUGCCCGCGCCAUAUUCCUUGUUUGAAGCACUCCUCUAGUUUGAAGGAUAUAUACCUUCCUGGGAUCAAGUGCAUCCUAACUCACCUGCGCGUCAAGUUCGAUCCCACGGAUCAGGAGCUGAUCGAGCACCUUGAGGCCAAAGUGAGUGCUGACAACGUGAGAUUUCAGUCUCUCAUCGAUUUGUUCAUACCAACCAUCGACAGCGAGCACGGCAUAUGCUACACCCAACCUAAGAAACUUCCAGGUAUCACACUGAGUGGCCUAAGGAAGCAUUUCUUCCAGCGCAAUUCCAGGGCGUUCAAAAGGGGCACGUGGACGUGUCGCAAGAUACAGUCGGAGUGCGGCAUGCACGCGAUGUGGCACAAGACCGGCAAUACCUUGCCGGUGAUGGUCAACGGCCGGUAG
Molecule: ribosomal RNA, 510 nt
Filed under: Triticum aestivum (bread wheat)
Lineage: Eukaryota; Viridiplantae; Streptophyta; Magnoliopsida; Poales; Poaceae
Description: partial small subunit ribosomal RNA
Source: RNAcentral